UACGUAGGGUGCGAGCGUUAAUCGGAAUUACUGGGCGUAAAGCGUGCGCAGGCGGUUUUGUAAGCCAGAUGUGAAAGCCCCGGGCUUAACCUGGGAAUGGCAUUUGGGACUGCAAGGCUGGAGUGUGGCAGAGGAGACUGGAAUUCCUGGUGUAGCGGUGAAAUGCGUAGAUAUCGGGAGGAACAUCAGUGGCGAAGGCGGCUGCCUGGCCCAAUACUGACACUCAGGUGCGACAGCGUGGGGAGCAAACAGG
RNAcentral lists this ribosomal RNA (253 nucleotides) under uncultured bacterium. Its description in RNAcentral is "partial 16S ribosomal RNA". It matches the Rfam family "Bacterial small subunit ribosomal RNA", at positions 524 to 776 of the family's 1533-position model. The record is from RNAcentral.